UGUCCCAGUUCGGACUGGAGUCUGCAACCCGACUCCACGAAGUUGGAUUCGCUAGUAAUCGCGCAUCAGCCAUGGCGCGGUGAAUACGUUCCCGGGCCUUGUACACACCGCCCGUCAAGCCAUGGGAGCCGGGGGUACCUGAAGUGCGUAACCGCGAGGAGCGCCCUAGGGUAAAACUGGUGACUGGGGCUAAGUCGUAACAAGGUAUC
This 209-nucleotide ribosomal RNA is filed under the name uncultured bacterium. RNAcentral describes it as "partial 16S ribosomal RNA". It matches the Rfam family "Bacterial small subunit ribosomal RNA", at positions 1284 to 1500 of the family's 1533-position model. The record is from RNAcentral.